This 347-nucleotide ribosomal RNA is filed under the name uncultured bacterium. Its description in RNAcentral is "bacterial SSU rRNA". It matches the Rfam family "Bacterial small subunit ribosomal RNA", at positions 8 to 350 of the family's 1533-position model. The record is from RNAcentral.
AGAGUUUGAUCAUGGCUCAGGAUGAACGCUAGCUACAGGCUUAACACAUGCAAGUCGAGGGGCAGCAUGUUGGUUGCUUGCAACCAACGACGGCGACCGGCGCACGGGUGAGUAACGCGUAUCCAACCUACCCUUGUCCAUCGGAUAACCCGUCGAAAGGCGGCCUAACACGAUAUGCGGUUCACAGCAGGCAUCUAACGUGAACGAAAUGUGAAGGAGAAGGAUGGGGAUGCGUCUGAUUAGCUUGUUGGCGGGGUAACGGCCACCAAGGCUACGAUCAGUAGGGGUUCUGAGAGGAAGGUCCCCCACAUUGGAACUGAGACACGGUCCAAACUCCUGCGGAGGCA